CCCAUCAGGUAGUUGGUGGGGUAAAGGCCCACCAAGCCUGAGACGGGUAGCCGGCGUGAGAGCGCGGCCGGCCCGAGGGGCACUGAGACACGGGCCCCACUCCUACGGGAGGCAGCAGGCUGGAAAUGUGGGCAAUGGGGGAAACCCUGACCCCGCGACGCUGCGUGCGGGAAGAAGCCCUUCGGGGUGUAAACCGCUUUUGUGGGGGGCGAAGUACUGACGGUACCCCACGAAUAAGCCACGGCUAACCUCGUGCCAGCAGCCGCGGUAAGACGGGGGUGGCGAGCGUUGCCCGGAAUCACUGGGCUUAAAGGGGGCGUAGGCGGCUGGGUGUGUCGGGUGUGUAAUCCACCGGCUCAACUGGUGGGCUGCGCCCGAUACUACCUGGCUAGAGGGCGCUAGGGGGAGGCGGAACUCCUGGUGUAGCGGUGAAAUGCGUAGAUAUCAGGGGGAACACCGGAGGCGAAGGCGGCCUCCUGGGGCGUGCCUGACGCUGAGGCCCGAAGGCUGGGGGAGCAAAGGGAUUAGAUACCCCCGUAGUCCCAGCAGUAAACGAUGUGGCUAGCGUCUG
RNAcentral lists this ribosomal RNA (571 nucleotides) under uncultured Thermotogales bacterium. RNAcentral describes it as "bacterial SSU rRNA". It matches the Rfam family "Bacterial small subunit ribosomal RNA", at positions 237 to 824 of the family's 1533-position model. The record is from RNAcentral. Lineage: Bacteria; Thermotogati; Thermotogota; Thermotogae; Thermotogales.